GAUGAACGCUGGCGGCGUGCCUAAUACAUGCAAGUCGAGCGAACAGACGAGGAGCUUGCUCCUCUGACGUUAGCGGCGGACGGGUGAGUAACACGUGGAUAACCUACCUAUAAGACUGGGAUAACUUCGGGAAACCGGAGCUAAUACCGGAUAAUAUAUUGAACCGCAUGGUUCAAUAGUGAAAGACGGUUUUGCUGUCACUAUAGAUGGAUCCGUGCCGCAUUAGCUAGUUGGUAAGGUAACGGCUUACCAAGGCGACGAUGCGUAGCCGACCUGAGAGGGUGAUCGGCCACACUGGAACUGAGACACGGUCCAGACUCCUACGGGAGGCAGCAGUAGGGAAUCUUCCGCAAAGGGCGAAAGCCUGACGGAGCAACGCCGCGUGAGUGAUGAAGGUCUUCGGAUCGUAAAACUCUGUUAUUAGGGAAGAACAAAUGUGUAAGUAACUAUGCACGUCUUGACGGUACCUAAUCAGAAAGCCACGGCUAACUACGUG
This 496-nucleotide ribosomal RNA is filed under the name uncultured bacterium. Its description in RNAcentral is "partial 16S ribosomal RNA". It matches the Rfam family "Bacterial small subunit ribosomal RNA", at positions 28 to 507 of the family's 1533-position model. The record is from RNAcentral.